Molecule: ribosomal RNA, 544 nt
Filed under: uncultured bacterium
Lineage: Bacteria
Description: partial 16S ribosomal RNA
Rfam family: Bacterial small subunit ribosomal RNA
Source: RNAcentral
UGGGGAAUAUUGCACAAUGGGCGCAAGCCUGAUGCAGCCAUGCCGCGUGUGUGAAGAAGGCCUUCGGGUUGUAAAGCACUUUCAGCGAGGAGGAAGGUGGUGAGCUUAAUACGCUCAUCAAUUGACGUUACUCGCAGAAGAAGCACCGGCUAACUCCGUGCCAGCAGCCGCGGUAAUACGGAGGGUGCAAGCGUUAAUCGGAAUUACUGGGCGUAAAGCGCACGCAGGCGGUUUGUUAAGUCAGAUGUGAAAUCCCCGGGCUCAACCUGGGAACUGCAUUUGAAACUGGCAAGCUAGAGUCUCGUAGAGGGGGGUAGAAUUCCAGGUGUAGCGGUGAAAUGCGUAGAGAUCUGGAGGAAUACCGGUGGCGAAGGCGGCCCCCUGGACGAAGACUGACGCUCAGGUGCGAAAGCGUGGGGCAGCAAACAGGAUUAGAUACCCUGGUAGUCCAGCGCUGUAAACGAUGUCGAUUUGGAGGUUGUGCCCUUGAGGCGUGGCUUCCGGAGCUAACGCGUUAAAGUCGACCGCCUGGGGGAGUACGGCG